UUAAGUUUGAUCCUGGCUCAGACUGAGGNGCGUACGGCAGUGCCUAACACNUGCAAUGUCGAGCGGAUGACGGGAGCUUGCUCCUUGUAUUCAGCGGCGGACGGGUGAGUAAUGCCUAGGAAUCUGCCUGGUAGUGGGGGACAACGUUUCGAAAGGAACGCUAAUACCGCAUACGUCCUACGGGAGAAAGCAGGGGACCUUCGGGCCUUGCGCUAUCAGAUGAGCCUAGGUCGGAUUAGCUAGUUNGGUAGGGGUAAUGGCUCACCAAGGCGAACGAUCCUGUAAACCCGGUACUUGAGAGGAUUGAUCAGUCUACACUGGAACUGAGACACGGUCCAGA
RNAcentral lists this ribosomal RNA (340 nucleotides) under uncultured bacterium. Its description in RNAcentral is "bacterial SSU rRNA". It matches the Rfam family "Bacterial small subunit ribosomal RNA", at positions 1 to 335 of the family's 1533-position model. The record is from RNAcentral.